CUUUCAUAGUAAAAGUUAUUACAUAAGUCUUGUAAGCUUAAAUUUCCUCAUAGGAUGAAGGAU
RNAcentral lists this transfer RNA (63 nucleotides) under Perna perna. RNAcentral describes it as "tRNA-Thr". Lineage: Eukaryota; Metazoa; Mollusca; Bivalvia; Mytilida; Mytilidae. The record is from RNAcentral.